AACGAACGCUGGCGGCGUGCCUAACACAUGCAAGUCGAGCGCGAGAAGGGCAACCUGAGUAGAGCGGCGCACGGGUGCGUAACACGUGGGCAAUCUGCCUUAGAGUCGAGGAUAACCUUCCGAAAGGUUGGCUAAUACUCGGUAAGCUUACGGUGUCUUCGGACGCUGUGGGAAGAGUAGGCCUCUGUUUACAAGCUUACGCUCUGAGAUGAGCCCGCGGCCCAUCAGCUAGUUGGCGGUGUAACGGACCACCAAGGCAACGACGGGUGGCUGGUCUGAGAGGACGAUCAGCCACACUGGAACUGAGACACGGUCCAGACUCCUACGGGAGGCAGCAGUGGGGAAUUUUCCACAAUGGGCGAAGGCCUGAUGGGGCAACGCAGCGUGUGUGAUGAAGGUUUUCGGAUCGUAAAGCACUUUCGACCGGGACGAAAAACCUCUGGCUAACAUCCAGGGGCCUGACGGUACCGGGAGAAGAAGCACCGGCUAACUCUGUGCCAGCAGCCGCCGUAA
Molecule: ribosomal RNA, 513 nt
Filed under: uncultured bacterium
Lineage: Bacteria
Description: partial 16S ribosomal RNA
Rfam family: Bacterial small subunit ribosomal RNA
Source: RNAcentral